CUCCCCGUCCCAACUCCCACUACUGUCCCGCCCACGGGGGCGGGACCCGUGAAGCCACGCCGAAAACUUGUCUGCUCCUUGGAAGAUUCUAUUGGCUGGAAGGCCGUGGGAAGCCACUACCAGCAACCAAUUGGAACGCACAAUUAGCACCACUCGCUUUCUCAGGAGCCAAUAGAGAAGAGGAACAGGGAAGCGUUUCCUGAGUUCGGGGGUCGGCGGAAGAUGGCGGCGGCCGAAGGGGGUUGGUGUUUGUGCGAGUUACUGAGGUUUUUUUAUUCAUUAUUGUUCCCUGGGCUAAUUGUAUGUGGAACUCUGUGUGUGUGUUUGGUCAUUAUCCUUUGGGGAAUCAGACUGCUGCUACGGAGAAAGAAAAAGUCAGCAUCAACUAGCAAAAAUGGGAAUAAUGAAAUGGUGAUUGCGUUUUUUCAUCCAUACUGCAAUGCUGGUGGAGGAGGAGAAAGAGUUUUAUGGUGUGCCUUAAGGGCCCUGCAGAAAAAGUAUCCUGAAGCAGUUUAUGUUGUUUAUACUGGUGAUGUUAAUGUCAACGGUCAACAGAUACUAGAUGGUGCUUUCACAAGAUUUAACAUCAGAUUGAUUCGCCCAGUGAAGUUUGUUUUCUUAAGGAAACGCUACCUUGUGGAAGAUUCACUCUAUCCUCACUUCACACUGCUGGGCCAAAGUCUAGGAUCCAUUCUCCUUGGCUGGGAAGCUCUGAUGCAGUGUGUUCCUGAUGUUUACAUCGAUUCAAUGGGAUAUGCUUUCACACUUCCUCUGUUUAAGUACUUAGGUGGUUGUCGAGUUGGAAGCUAUGUUCAUUAUCCCACUAUCAGCACUGACAUGCUCUCUGUAGUGAAGAAUCAAAAUGUUGGAUUUAAUAAUGCAGGCUUCAUUACCAGGAAUCCUUUUCUCAGCAAAGUAAAGCUCAUCUACUACUAUUUAUUUGCUUUUAUGUACGGACUUGUCGGUUCUUGCAGUGAUGUAGUCAUGGUCAAUUCUUCUUGGACACUAGAUCACAUUCUCUCACUGUGGAAGGUUGGGAAUUGCACUAGCAUUGUUUAUCCCCCUUGUGAUGUGCAGACAUUUCUGGACAUUCCCUUACAUGAGAAAAAGAUGACCCCAGGACAUUUACUCGUUUCUGUUGGCCAGUUCAGGCCUGAAAAGAAUCAUCCUUUGCAGAUCAGAGCCUUUGCUAAAUUGCUAAAUAAGAAGGAGGCUGAGUCACUUCCUUCACUUAAAUUAGUCCUCAUUGGAGGUUGUCGUAACCAAGAUGAUGAACUUAGGGUAAACCAACUGAGAAGGCUUUCUGAGGAUCUAGGAGUUCAGGAAGAUGUGGAAUUUAAAAUAAACAUUCCAUUUGAUGAAUUAAAGAAUUACUUAUCUGAAGCAACAAUUGGUCUGCAUACCAUGUGGAAUGAGCAUUUUGGGAUUGCACAAAUUGCUCUCUCUACUCUGACCUCCUGUUGUGCACACAUUUGGGUAUAAAAUCAAGUACGGUUUUGUGUCUAAUUUGGUUCAAUAUAUAUUUCUCAAGUGCCUGCUUUGUGCCUCAUGCUGUAGAAAAACAUAAAAGCUGUAGAAAAACAUAAAAGUGAAGUUUCCUACACGAAGGCUACAGUUUCCCUUAUCCUCUUUGUAUCCCUCAUUAGUAACACAGUACUAAGCCCAGACAUUUGGCAAGACUUGUUGAUCCAAACCUUCUGCACAGAGCCUGACAUCCUGUGCUUCCUUCCUCGGAUACUUAUUGAGCAUUUACUGUGCCAGGCAUGGGGGUGAGUGCUGGGAGUAUGACUGAAUUAGGAGCUGUUCCUCCCCUCAGAGGCUUACAGCUCCAAGUGAUGUAGACAAGUUGCCCAGGCGUUUACUGUACAGUGUGCCAGGUGCUGUGCUGGGAAAGUGCAGGUUGAUAGGAAAGCACCUAAGAGAAACACCUAACACAGACUUGUGGGAUCAGAGAACAAUUGCCCAAGGAAAUGAGGUGACCUGUAAGCUCUGCCUCAUGCAAAAGAGGGCAGAGUAUCCAGCGGAGGGAGCAGCACUGUGAUGGGUGGCAGAAAAGGAGCAUUGGCAGGCACAUGCAAGGAACUGAGUUCAGUAUGGCUGAAGCAUAGGGAGGAACAGCAAGACAAUGGAGAAGUGAUCUGCAGCCAGAUCACACGGUCAUGUUAAGCCGGUGGGAAAAGCUAGAAAGAUUUUGAAGUAUUGGAUUUGAAAGCUUUCUGUUCCCUAAAGUUCACUCUGGGUGCGAUGUGGGGAGUGGAUCAGUGAGGAGCAGGGAGAGCAAGACUGCAGGGAGCAGGGAGAGCAAGAAAGACUGCAGCGGCCUAGAGGAGAGGUGCUGGUGCUGAACUUGGUAGGUGAACACGCUUGAGAGAGAUUCUGAAGUAGUACUGAACAGGACUCAGUGAUUAAUUGGAUGUGUUAAAUGAGGGAGAAAGAGCAGUCGGAGAGGACAGCCUAGGUUUUCAGUUUGGACAACUGUGUGAAUGGUGAUGGCUUUCACCUAGAGAGGGGAUCCAAGAGGAGAGGCAGGUGAUGAGCCAAGUUUCGAGCAUGUAGAGUUUGAAUUGUCUGGGGGACACGUAAGUGUGUGUGUCCAGCAGGCAGUUGUAUACAUGAGUCUGAAGUCUCGAGAGGGACCUGAUCUGGAAAUACAGAGCGAGAGUUGUCAUUGUCCAGGUCGUUACAGUACCCAGGUAGUUACAGUACCCCCUGGUGAAGGAUAAGACUGCCCAGGAAAGCGUGUAGAGCGAAAAGAGGCCUGUCGCACAAGAUGCUGAGAACAGUAACAGUUCAGGAGUGGGCAGAAGAGGAGGAGCCAGCAAAGGAGAAGAGAAGAACUAGAGGGAGGAGGAAAACCAGCAGAGUGCGGUGUCGUGGAAACCAGGGGAAGAGAGCCUUUAGGGAAGAAGGGAAAAGGCAGCAGAUUCCUGUGCUGCGCCCAUGCUGGGCAAGGAGUUGUCGAGUGUAUGGCAGCUGGCACAAUUAUCCUUGCACACAAAUCAGGGGGCCCGAAG
RNA transcript from Diceros bicornis minor, 3014 nucleotides. It is a transcript of the gene named ALG11 alpha-1,2-mannosyltransferase, with no coding region annotated. The record is from RefSeq and is a predicted model, not a curated record. The transcript is spliced from 5 exons. Lineage: Eukaryota; Metazoa; Chordata; Mammalia; Perissodactyla; Rhinocerotidae.